Molecule: ribosomal RNA, 373 nt
Filed under: uncultured organism
Description: partial 16S ribosomal RNA
Rfam family: Bacterial small subunit ribosomal RNA
Source: RNAcentral
GGAGGGCGCAAGCGUUGUUCGGAAUCAUUGGGCGUAAAGCGCGUGUAGGCGGCUUGGCAAGUCGGACGUGAAAGCCCGGGGCUCAACCCCGGAAUUGCGUUCGAAACUGCCUGGCUAGAGUCCCGGAGAGGAGGGCGGAAUUCCCGGUGUAGAGGUGAAAUUCGUAGAUAUCGGGAGGAACACCAGCGGCGAAGGCGGCCCUCUGGACGGUGACUGACGCUGAGACGCGAAAGCGUGGGGAGCAAACAGGAUUAGAUACCCUGGUAGUCCACGCCGUAAACGUUGGGUGCUAGGUGUCGCGGGUAUUGACCCCCCUGCGGUGCCGUCGUUAACGCAGUUAGCACCCCGCCUGGGGAGUACGGUCGCAAGGCUA